UGGGGAAUAUUGGACAAUGGGGGGAACCCUGAUCCAGCCAUGCCGCGUGUGUGAAGAAGGCCUUAUGGUUGUAAAGCACUUUAAGCGAGGAGGAGGGUACUGGUAUUAAUACUACCAGGUACUGGACGUUACUCGCAGAAUAAGCACCGGCUAACUCUGUGCCAGCAGCCGCGGUAAUACAGAGGGUGCGAGCGUUAAUCGGAAUUACUGGGCGUAAAGCGCGCGUAGGUGGUUCGUUAAGUUGAAUGUGAAAGCCCCGGGCUCAACCUGGGAACUGCAUCCAAAACUGGCGGGCUAGAGUAGGGCAGAGGGUGGUGGAAUUUCCUGUGUAGCGGUGAAAUGCGUAGAUAUAGGAAGGAACACCAGUGGCGAAGGCGACCACCUGGGCUCAUACUGACACUGAGGUGCGAAAGCGUGGGGAGCAAACAGG
RNAcentral lists this ribosomal RNA (430 nucleotides) under Pseudomonadota bacterium. Its description in RNAcentral is "Proteobacteria bacterium partial 16S ribosomal RNA". It matches the Rfam family "Bacterial small subunit ribosomal RNA", at positions 355 to 776 of the family's 1533-position model. The record is from RNAcentral. Lineage: Bacteria; Pseudomonadati; Pseudomonadota.